Molecule: ribosomal RNA, 253 nt
Filed under: uncultured bacterium
Lineage: Bacteria
Description: partial 16S ribosomal RNA
Rfam family: Bacterial small subunit ribosomal RNA
Source: RNAcentral
UACGUAGGGGGCAAGCGUUGUCCGGAUUUAUUGGGCGUAAAGAGCAUGUAGGCGGCCAGGUAGGUCUGCUGUGAAAACUCGAGGCUCAACCUCGAGAUGUCGGCGGAAACCCUCUGGCUAGAGUCCGGAAGAGGAGAGUGGAAUUCCUGGUGUAGCGGUGGAAUGCGCAGAUAUCAGGAAGAACACCCGUGGCGAAGGCGGCUCUCUGGGACGGUACUGACGCUGAGACGCGAAAGCGUGGGGAGCGAACAGG